CUACGGGGGGCACCAGUGAGGAAUAUUGCACAAUGGGGGGAACCCUGAUGCAGCAACGCCGCGUGGAGGAUGACGCAUUUCGGUGUGUAAACUUCUUUUAUAUGUCGAGAAAAUGACGGUAGCAUAUGAAUAAGCACCGGCUAACUCCGUGCCAGCAGCCGCGGUAAUACGGAGGGUGCAAGCGUUACUCGGAAUCACUGGGCGUAAAGGACGCGUAGGCGGGUUGGAAAGUCAGGUGUGAAAUCCUACAGCUUAACUGUAGAACUGCACUUGAAACUUCUAAUCUAGAGUAUGGGAGGGGGAGAUGGAAUUAGUGGUGUAGGGGUAAAAUCCGUAGAUAUCACUAGGAAUACCUAAAGCGAAGGCGAUCUCCUGGAACAUUACUGACGCUAAGGCGUGAAAGCGUGGGGAGCAAACAGGAUUAGAUACCCGCGUAGUC
Molecule: ribosomal RNA, 439 nt
Filed under: uncultured bacterium
Lineage: Bacteria
Description: partial 16S ribosomal RNA
Rfam family: Bacterial small subunit ribosomal RNA
Source: RNAcentral